AUACGGAGGAUCCGAGCGUUAUCCGGAUUUAUUGGGUUUAAAGGGUGCGCAGGCGGCCAUUUAAGUCAGCGGUUAAAUCGUGGGGCUCAACCCCAUUCUGCCGUUGAUACUGGGUGGCUUGAUUGCGGUCGAGGUUGGCGGAAUUCGUUGUGUAGCGGUGAAAUGCAUAGAUAUGACGAAGAACACCGAUUGCGUAGGCAGCUGACCAGACCGCAAAUGACGCUCAUGCACGAAAGUGCGGGGAUCGAACAGGAUUAGAUACCCUGGUCGUCCGCACAGUAAACGAUGAAUACUUGUUUUCGGCGAUAUAAUGUCGGAGGCAAAGCGAAAGCGAUAAGUAUUCCACCUGGGGAGUACGCCGGCAACGGUGAAACUCAAAUGAAUUGGCGGGG
This 392-nucleotide ribosomal RNA is filed under the name uncultured bacterium. Its description in RNAcentral is "partial 16S ribosomal RNA". It matches the Rfam family "Bacterial small subunit ribosomal RNA", at positions 523 to 918 of the family's 1533-position model. The record is from RNAcentral.